Molecule: ribosomal RNA, 451 nt
Filed under: uncultured bacterium
Lineage: Bacteria
Description: bacterial SSU rRNA
Rfam family: Bacterial small subunit ribosomal RNA
Source: RNAcentral
GUCGAGGAUCAUUUGCAAUGGGCGAAAGCCUGACAGUGCGACGCUGCGUGGAGGAUGAAGGCCUUCGGGUUGUAAACUCCUGUCAUUCGGGAACAAGCGUCCGGUUGUGAAUAGCAGCUGGACUUGAUAGUACCGGAAGAGGAAGCCACGGCUAACUCUGUGCCAGCAGCCGCGGUAAUACAGAGGUGGCGAGCGUUGUUCGGAUUUACUGGGCGUAAAGGGCGCGUAGGCGGCCUUGUGUGUCGGAUGUGAAAUCUCACCGCCUAACGGUGAAACGGCAUUCGAAACUGCGAGGCUUGAGUGCAGGAGAGGAGAGCGGAAUUCUUGGUGUAGCAGUGAAAUGCGUUGAUAUCAAGAGGAACGCCAGUGGCGAAGGCGGCUCUCUGGAAUGCAACUGACGCUGAGGCACGAAAGCUGGGGGAGCAAACAGGAUUAGAUACCCUUGUAGUCC